RNAcentral lists this ribosomal RNA (252 nucleotides) under uncultured bacterium. RNAcentral's name for it is "partial 16S ribosomal RNA". It matches the Rfam family "Bacterial small subunit ribosomal RNA", at positions 525 to 776 of the family's 1533-position model. The record is from RNAcentral.
ACGGAGGGUGCGAGCGUUGCUCGGAAUCACUGGGCGUAAAGCGUACGCAGGUGGUCUGUUAAGUCGGGUGUGAAAUCCCGGAGCUCAACUCCGGAACUGCGCCCGAUACUGGCAGACUUGAGUACGGGAGAGGGAAGCGGAAUUCCUGGUGUAGAGGUGAAAUUCGUAGAUAUCAGGAGGAACACCAGUGGCGAAAGCGGCUUCCUGGCCCGAUACUGACACUCAUGUACGAAAGCGUGGGUAGCAAACAGG